UGAUCAAAUUCCUCAACGACAACCCGCUCAUCCUCGCGUUGCAAAUGAAGUGCAAAUUGAGAAAAUCAUCAGCGACAUCAACAUUCCAGGUCCUCUCACAUGCUCAAGAGCUUCAAAUUUAUCUAACUUUUGUGCGCACGUUGCUUUCGUCUCUAUCACAGAGCCCACUAAGGUAGAUGAAGCAUUUCUGGAGCCUGAGUGGAUUCAAGCUAUGCAAAAGGAAUUACAUCAAUUCGAGCUCAACAACGUCUGGGAACUGGUCAAACGUCCAGAUCCUUGCAAGCACAAUAUCAUCGGCACAAAGCGGAUCUACCGCAACAAGCAAGAUGAAAAUGGCCUUGUGGCGAGGAAUAAGGCAUGACUUGUAGCGCAAGGCUACACACAAGUUGAAGGAAUUGACUUUCAUGAUACUUUUGCACCUGUUGCUAGACUUGAAGCAAUUCACAUAUUACUUGCUUAUGCUAACCAUCAUGAUAUCAUCUUAUAUCAAAUGGAUGUGAAAAGUGCAUUCCUCAGUGGUAAGCUUGAGGAAGAAGUAUAUGUUGCUUAGCCCCCAGGUUUUGAAGAUCCAAAGCAUCCUGACAAAGUCUUCAGAUUCAAUAAGGCCCUCUAUUGCCUCAAGCAGGCCCCACAGGCGUGGUAUGAUACUUUGAAGGAAUUCCUCAUGAAGAGAGGCUUCAAACCCAGUUCACUUGACCCAACUCUUUUCACUAGAUCUUAUGAUGGUGAAUUGUUUGUGUGCCAAAUUUAUGUUGAUGAUAUCAUUUUCGGCUGUACUGACUAAUGUUACAGUGAUGAAUUUGCCUAUAUGAUGAGUGAAGAAUAUCAAAUGUCUAUGAUGGGAGAAUUAAAGUUCUUCUUAGGUCUUCAGAUUCGUCAAUAGCGCAAUGGCAUAUUCAUAUCUCAGGAGAAAUACCUCAAUGAUGUACUGAGGAAAUUCGGCAUGCAAGAUUGCAAAGGAGUCAAAAUCCCUAUGCCCACAAAUGGCCAUCUAUGCAUUGAUGAAAAUGGUAUUAACUUCGAUCAAAAGGUAUACCGCUCCAAGAUUGGUUCUUUAUUGUACUUAUGUGCAUCUAGGCCAGAUAUUAUGCUUAGUGUUUGCAUGUGUGCCCAAUUUGAAGCUACACCGAAGGAAUCACACCAUAAGGCUGUGAAGCAUAUUCUUCGAUAUCUAGCUCACACACCAACACUUGGAUUAUGGUACCCCAAGGGCUCGGCCUUUGAUCUCAUUGGGUUUUCAGACUCUGACUAUGCUAGUGAUUGCUACCUCUUGAGCACUGCGUUGGAUUUCCCGAAGAGGAAAGGAUGAUGCAGCAAAGUAGCAUAAGUAUUUCCCUCAGUUUUUGAGAACCAAGGUAUCAAUCCAGUAGGAGGUUGCGCGCAUGUCCCCUAGUACAUGCACAAAGCAAAUAACUCCUCGCAACCAACGCGAUAAGGGGUUGUCAAUCCCUUCACAGUCACUUACGAGAGUGAGAUCUGAUAGAUAUGAUAAGAUAAUAUUUUUGGUAUUUUUGUGAUAAAGAUGCAAAGUAAAAUAAAAGCAAAGGAAAUAACUAAGUAUUGGAAGAUUAAUAUGACGAAGAUAGACCCGGGGGCCAUAGGUUUCACUAGUGACUUCUCUUAAGAGCAUAAGUAUUUUAUGGUGGGUGAACGAAUUACUGUUGAGCAAUUGACAGAAUUGAGCAAAGUUAUGAGAAUAUCUAGGCAUGAUCAUGUAUAUAGGCAUCACGUCCAAGACAAGUAGACCGACUCCUGCCUGCAUCUACUACUAUUACUCCACUCAUCGACCGCUAUCCAGCAUGCAUCUAGAGUAUUAAGUUCAUGAAAACAGAGUAAUGCCUUAAGCAGGAUGACAUGAUGUAGAGGGAUAAAUUCAUGCAAUAUGAUAAAAAACAUCUUGUUAUCCUCGAUGGCAACAAUACAAUACGUGCCUUGCUGCCCCUACUGUCACUGGGAAAGGACACCGCAAGAUUGAACCCGAAGCUAAGCACUUCUCCCAUUGUAAGGAAGAUCAAUCUAGUAGGCCAAACCAAACUGAUAAUUCGAAGAGACUUGCAAAGAUAACCAAUCAUACAUAAAAGAAUUCAGAGAAGAUUCAAAUAUUGUUCAUAGAUAAUCUUGAUCAUAAACCCACAAUUCAUCGGUCUCAACAAACACACCGUAAAAAGAAGAUUACAUCAGAUAGAUCUCCACAAGAGAGGGGGAGAACAUUGAUUUGAGAUCCAAAAAGAGAGAAGAAGCCAUCUAGCUAAUAACUAUGGACCCGAAGGUCUGAGGUAAACUACUCACACUUCAUCGGAGAGGCUAUGGUGUUGAUGUAGAAGCCCUCCAUGAUGGAUACCCCCUCCGGCGGAGCUCCGGAACAGGCCCCAAGAUGGGAUCUCGUGGAUACAGGAAGCUACGGCGGUGGAAUUAGGGUUUUCGCUCCGUAUCUGAUCGUUUGGGGGUACGUAUGUAUAUAUAGGAGGAAGGAGUACGUCAGUGGAGCANNNNNNNNNNNNNNNNNNNNNNNNNNNNNNNNNNNNNNNNNNNNNNNNNNNNNNNNNNNNNNNNNNNNNNNNNNNNNNNNNNNNNNNNNNNNNNNNNNNNNNNNNNNNNNNNNNNNNNNNNNNNNNNNNNNNNNNNNNNNNNNNNNNNNNNNNNNNNNNNNNNNNNNNNNNNNNNNNNNNNNNNNNNNNNNNNNNNNNNNNNNNNNNNNNNNNNNNNNNNNNNNNNNNNNCCUCCUUUGUUUCUUGUCAUAGGGUCCAAGUCUCCUAGAUCAUGUUCGGUGAGAAAAUCACGUUCCCGAAGGUUUCAUUCCGUUUGGACUCCGUUUGAUAUUCCUUUUCUUCAAAACCCUAAAAUAGGCAAAAAACAACAAUUCUGGGCUGGGCCUCCGGUUAAUGGGUUAGUCCCAAAAAUAAUAUAAAAGUGGAUAAUAAAGCCCAAUAAUGUCCAAAACAGUAGAUAAUAUAGCAUGGAGCAAUCAAAAAUUAUAGAUACGUUGGAGACGUAUCAGUGAUCGUGUGGACCGCAAGUCAACAUCUGGCACAUGCCAUUCCCUCGGACGAUCCUUGGUUUGUUGGUCCUCGAAGAAACAGAACUGCGUAUCACUGUCUACUGCUGAAGCUGAGUACAUUGCUGCUGGUUCUUGCCGUGCUCAAUUGCUAUGGAUGAAGCAAACUCUCAAGGACUACGGUGUCAACAUGAAGAAUGUGCCACUCUACUGUGACAAUGAGAGUGCCAUCAAGAUUGCUCAUAACCCAGUUCAGCACUCGAAGACAAAGCACAUUCAGAUUCGUCAUCAUUUUCUUCGUGAUCAUGUUUUGAAGGGCGACAUCUCUAUUGAGCAUGUGAAGACUGAAGAACAGCUAGCCGAUAUCUUCACUAAGCCCUUGGAUGAGAAGAGAUUUAGCAAGUUGCGGUGUGAGCUAAAUACCUUAGAAUCUUCAAAUGUUCUUUGAAAAGGACACUCAUCCUAACACUUAUGCAAAAUUGAUGACUUAGAUGUGCAACACAUGAAGAAACGUUUUUCUUCAAUCAAUGAAAACUAACCCUCUAAGUGUUAAGAAAUUAACGAAGAAUUUGAUUCUCAGAACCCUACGACAAUUGUACGCGGUGUCUGAAAUCAUCAUUCUUAUACGAUGGGUCACACCACCACCAAAAGUUGAAAAAUCCUCAAUCUGAGUUUUUCCUCACUUUGAAAUACCUCAGUUCGUCUUCAACUUGCAUUGUCUUCACUCUUUCCGUCGUUUUUUUCAUUGGCUAUAUAUAUAUACACAUAAACACUAUUUUGAUCACGGGAUCAGAAUAAUAUUCUGAUCACAACCUGACCUGCCCCGCCAGUAGUACAUUGAACUUCCCUGUGAACUAGGUUGAACUUCCGCCAACAUUGCCUAAAUGGGGCUUGCGAUAUACCGUUGGAAAGCUAUGGACACUAAUAUCAUGACCCAACUUAAAUUUUUGGCAAAAUAUAAGCGGUUUAAGAGCAGUUUUGAAAACCGUUUUUUCUUCGCACAAAAAACGUGAAUCGUAUUUUCGAUCGCAUUUCUAAACCGUUUAUCGGAAUGAGGCAUAUAAUAUGGCGUUGGAAAGCUACUGCAAAACCUCUCCUUCCACAUGUUGAAAGUUUUCUCUAAUUACCUAUGGUUAAAGAGUAAUUUGAAAAAAACAUAAAAUUUCGUAAACCGAACAGUUGAGUUCGUUUUUUUCGAUGUUAUUUCUAAACGGCUAAUCUAAUGGAGGCAUAUGAUAUGGCGUUGGAAAGCUUAUGAAAAUGCGCUACUUUUCCAUCUUGAAAGUUUUUUUCCUAAUUUUGAAUGGUUUAAGAGUAAUUUAAAAAAUGGUCCAAGUCCUACAAGUUCGUAUUUUCGAGCUAAUUUGUUAACCGUGCGUCCGAAUGCAGCAAAUGAUAUGGCGUUGGAAAGCUUGAACAAAUGCGAAACUCUUUGGUAUGUAUUGUUUCUCCCAAUUCUUUACGGUUUUAAUUCAGUUUCGAAAAUGGCGAAAAACAUAUUUUCGUCGUAAUUUCUACAAACUUUAUCGGAAUGGGGCAAACAAUAUACCGCUGAAAAGCUACGAAAAAUGUGAAACUUUUUCAUGUUGAUGGUUUUCUUUGUUUCCUAGCCGUUUUCAAGUAAUUUCAAAAACGGCGGGAUCAUGCGUUCUGCCUUUAUCGCGAAUCAGAUUCUUCAAAAAUGCACCGCGUGAAGAACCUGAACUUCUCGGCACGUGUACCUGAACUUCACUCUAUUUUUCACGUGAUUAUUUUGCUCGUAGGUCUCCAUCCACUGCUUGUAACUCUCCAUACAUUCACCGGAAUUGAGCAGGUGAUAUACCGGUGGAAAGCUGCUGUAAGCACGCAAGUUUCGCGUGUUGAUCUCUUUUCAUAGUCGCGACGAUUUUAAAAGUUUUUCAUCUAAAAUUCAUAUAGCAUAGUAAUUGAACUUCCUGCUAUUUUCACGUUGAACUUAUGUGACGUAUUUUUGUUUGUAAUUUUCUCAUCCAUUCGUUAGUGUUACACAAAUAAUAUUCCUUUUGUACAAACGUCUCUCACAAUAAUUUUUUUAACUUUCUCCGACCGAGGACUUGAACUUACACAAAUGAUAUUCCUGUCGUUUUGAGGUAAAUUAAAAAAUGGCGAGAUCAUGAUUUAUGCGUUAAUCGUGAACGAAAAUUCACUGUGUGAAGUAGUUGAACUUCUAGGGCAUGUUUGUUUGAACUUCACUCUGUUUUUUGACGUGCUGCUUUUUGCACCGCGUGAAGUAGUUGAACUUCUGGGACAUGUCUGUUUGAACUUCACUCAGUUUCACUUUAUUGUAUUUUUAUUAUAUGAAAUACACACCAUGUAGUACGUGAACUUCCGAUCGUUAUCACUCUGAACUUCUCUCUGGUUUGAGAGAAUUAUUUUAAAACACAAAAAACAACAUAUUUUUUUUUGUAUUUUCGACAUCUAAAUACACGGUGAAGCUCUCUCACAAGAAUUUUUUAAACUUUUCCUCCCCGAGCACUUGAACUUCUAGCAACCAUUUUUUCCGUAUAUGAGUUGUUUUUAAAAGUGCAAAAAAUAGCUUGUGUUUUUUAUUUUUUAACAGGUAAAUCCUAUGUUUUAAUAAUCUCCGAACUUCUCUGUUAUUUCAAUUUGAACUUCACCUUUUCAUAUUUUGAGUAAAGAAUUGUAUUCGAUUUUUAUACGGAAAAAAUCGAACAUGCAAAUACAAGGUGAACCUCUCUCGCAAGAAUUUUUGAACUUCCCCGGACAGAGCACUUGAACUUUUUCAACAAACCUUUUAAGCUUUUUGUUUUCUAUUUCUUAUAUUCCAAUCUGAAACUCAUUUCAUGUAUUAGUUGAACUUCCCAUUGUUUUCGUCUUGAACUUCUGUCACGUAUUUUUGUUUAACCUAUCUCACAAGAAUUUUGAACUUUCUCGGUCCGGGCACGUGAACUUCUAGCAACAAAUUGUGGACUUUGCCUUUUUAUUCUUUUCUUUCUCUUAUGAAAUGCACACCAUGCAGAACAUGAACUUUUGGCAGUUAUCAGUUUGAACUUCUCUCUGUUUCGCUUUAGUUAUGAAAAACUCUUAUUUUUUACAUAUAUCGAACCACUCUAACUUUUUUAUUUGAAUUUCUUUUAUGUAUUUUUAGAAAAAUGAAAAUUUUAGUUUUGUUAGAAACAUUAAACUUCUUCGUUAUUUUGAAUUGAACUUAUUGGUUCUAUUCUUUAGUACCAAAAAAUCGAGUUUUUAAUUAAAUAACAAACUUCUCCAUGUUUUUAAAUUGAACUUCUUGGUUUUAUUCUUCAGUAACGAGGAAAACUGAGUUUUUAAUGUACAUUGAAUUACUUUGUUUCUAAAAUUGAACUUCUUGACUUAAUCUUGAGUAUCGGGGAAAAUCUGAAUUUUUUAAAAAACACGGAAAAUCUUUUUUAAAACUUUUUUGUUAUUCCCUUAUUUUAAUUUGAACUUAUUAGUUAUUCUUUAGAACGAGAAUAAGAGGUUUUUAUAAACCUUGAUUUUUUUGUUAUUUUAAUUUGAACUUCUUAGUUUUAUUCUUUAGUAGUGAGGAAAAUCGAGUUUUUUGAACUUCUUUGUUUUGAAUUUUUGAAUUUCUUGAUUUUAUUUUUUAAUGAUGUGAAAAAUCCGAAUUUUUUAUAGACAUCGAACUUCACCAUUUUUUAAAUUUGAACUUCUUAGUUCUAUUGGUUAGUAAUGGGGAAAAUGCUUUUUUAUAUAAACAACGAUACAACACCGUUAUUUUAAUUUGAACCUCCAGUUUUUAUAGAAUGGGGAAAAUCAGUUUUUAUAUAAUCUUUUGAAAUGCUCCUCUUUUUAGUUUGAACUUCUCUGUUUUUUACAAAUGGGAAAAAUCCGUUAUAAAUAUUUUUUAGCUACUUUUUUAACUUCUUGCUCAAAUAUUUAACCCGUAAAGUUGUUGUAGGUUUUGUAGAUGUACAUUUCUAAUUUUCUUUACACAUGAUGGUAGCAUUGCGACUAUCAUAUUUUUUAUGCGAUAUGGUUUGAGGCUAAGGGAGGCCAUCUCAAUAAUACAUAGGAUGUGAGAUCGCAUACCCAUGAUUUGCACCCCACAAAAAACACAAAGAUCACACACCCCGUUGCUAAACUCUGACAUUCGUUCUGCACCUUAUGUGACCUUCUCCCUGCCUUUAUGGUGACAUUCAUCAGGAACGGGGUGUAAAUGAAGUUCAUUAGCAGCUUGUACAAUUUAGAGGACAAAUCACACAAACAAAAGAAUGGAGUACAAACAAAAGAGCGGCUUUUGAUAAACACCGAACCACUAAAUUGUUUAAAAUCUGAACUUGUACAUAAAUGAACAAUGAAUCUCUCUAUCCAUCACCAAAAAACACAUGAAUGAGUCUCUCAGGAUUUCACAAACACCGUACCCGGCACAUGUUAUGGGCAUCUAGUGAUAACUAUGCAUAAAAUGGCACAUCAAAAGGAAGAAAAUGUGUCAAGGUCAGCUGCAAUAACACACACAAAAA
This 7476-nucleotide long non-coding RNA is filed under the name Triticum aestivum (bread wheat). RNAcentral describes it as "long non-coding RNA (TAES_LNC010243)". Lineage: Eukaryota; Viridiplantae; Streptophyta; Magnoliopsida; Poales; Poaceae. The record is from RNAcentral.